UGCAUGCUUGAGCAUUAGAAGUCUCUUGCUUAGUGCUUGAGCAUUGGAAGACUCUUGCGUGUGUGCUUGAGCAGUUUUGUGAAGUCUCAUACUUUGAUAGUAUUGAGCAGUUGUAAUCUUUGUGAUUAUAGUGAAAUCUCCUUGGAAGUGCAAGGGGGACUGGACUACUUCCGUGUUGUGGAAGGAACCAGGAUAACUGCUUGUGUCUUUGUCUUUCUUUUCUCUGC
Molecule: long non-coding RNA, 227 nt
Filed under: Medicago truncatula (barrel medic)
Lineage: Eukaryota; Viridiplantae; Streptophyta; Magnoliopsida; Fabales; Fabaceae
Description: long non-coding RNA (MTRU_LNC001789)
Source: RNAcentral